This 72-nucleotide transfer RNA is filed under the name Aspergillus sclerotioniger CBS 115572. It matches the Rfam family "tRNA". From Rfam's summary of the family: Transfer RNA (tRNA) molecules are approximately 80 nucleotides in length. Their secondary structure includes four short double-helical elements and three loops (D, anti-codon, and T loops). Lineage: Eukaryota; Fungi; Ascomycota; Eurotiomycetes; Eurotiales; Aspergillaceae. The record is from Rfam by way of RNAcentral.
GGCCUUGUGGCCAAAUGGUAAGGCACCAGACUCCUAAUCUGGAGAUUGUGGGUUCGAGCCCCAUCAAGGUCG